Molecule: ribosomal RNA, 521 nt
Filed under: uncultured Gammaproteobacteria bacterium
Lineage: Bacteria; Pseudomonadati; Pseudomonadota; Gammaproteobacteria
Description: bacterial SSU rRNA
Rfam family: Bacterial small subunit ribosomal RNA
Source: RNAcentral
GAGUUUGAUCAUGGCUCAGAUUGAACGCUGGCGGCAGGCCUAACACAUGCAAGUCGAGCGGCAGCACGGGAGCUUGCUCCUGGUGGCGAGCGGCGGACGGGUGAGGAACACGUGGGAAUCUACCUAUUGGUGGGGGAUAGCUUGGGGAAACUCAAGGUAAUACCGCAUAAGCCCUACGGGGGAAAGCAGGGGACCUUCGGGCCUUGCGUCGAUAGAUGAGCCUGCGUCGGAUUAGCUAGUUGGUAGGGUAAAGGCCUACCAAGGCGACGAUCCGUAGCUGGUCUGAGAGGAUGAUCAGCCACACUGGGACUGAGACACGGCCCAGACUCCUACGGGAGGCAGCAGUGGGGAAUAUUGGACAAUGGGGGAAACCCUGAUCCAGCCAUGCCGCGUGUGUGAAGAAGGCCUUAGGGUUGUAAAGCACUUUCAGUGGGGAGGAAGGCUUCUGGCUAAUAAUCGGAAGUACUUGACGUUACCCACAGAAGAAGCACCGGCUAAUUUCGUGCCAGCAGCCGCGGUAA